GUCAGAGGCGAGGUCCACAUCCAAGACGAGCCAGAGGCGAGGUCCACGGCCAAGGACAGGAGCACAGAUGAUCCACCUGGAAUUUGAAAUCCCUUCUGUUCCCCUGGAGGGGAGUGGGAAGGAGGAACAACAUGUGAAUCACACUACACCAAACAGAAGCACAGAGAAUUAGAUAUAAUAAAUAAUAAAGAAUGGAGGAGAGUUGAAGUAAAUUAGAGUACAGAACAGAACCCCAGAGCUGAUGUGGAUAAUAACGGUGACAAAAAAAUCUAAAAUGCUUAGCAUAUCAAUAUUAAUCUAGACCCACAAGAGCUACAGCAGAGCGAGUCGACCACCAGGGCCCGGUUUAUCAAAGCAACUUCCCUCUGCUGAGUUCCAUGGAGAAAUCUGUGUAAUGGAUGUAAUGAAAGUUAUUAUUAUUCCCCAAAAUCAUUUCAGUAGGUAAGGGAGAAAUAAAAUUAACCAGGGUUAACAAACCAUGAGCUUGUAUCAUUUUUUAAUUGUUCCCACCUUUGGGAUUCGGUGAGAACCAAUAUCCAAAUCUUUUUGUGUUAGUAGAAUAUUAAUAUUAAUAUUACAGAUUACAUGCACACCUGUGCGUGCAGCAUUUGCAAGCAACCAGCAAAGGACCAAUACUAACAUUUUACUAAUAAUUACAGCAUAGUGUAAGGGUGUCGUACGAGAGAAUCGCCCUAUCGCCUUAAAUGCAUCCAUUUUGCAUUUUGAAUAUGUUACUAUGCAGUUACCACACACACAAUUGUGGCACAUUCUAUUUUAAUGAGUUCAUGAUAUUUGGCUGUACGAGCGUCAAAGGUACUGCAAGACACACCUGUGCUCCUCUGUACGAUCCUCCCUGGGCCGGACAACCCAAAAACCUCCAUACAGGUCAACCCCUGUGACUAAGGCUUACGCAGAAAAACGACUCAUCCAGGAGGCUGUGAAGAGGCAGAACACGCUGUGAAGGCCUACAGACUUCGCUUAACUGAGCUAAGGCCAGAAUUUAUGAUUCAACUGUGAGAAAAACCUGAAAUGAUGAGAAAGAAAAAAUAACAGAAGACCCAAAACCAAGCCCUGAGGUACGCCAUGCUGUGUAGACUUGAUUAAAAAAAAAAAAAAGUUCAGAAAGAAGUGAUUUGAAGAGUUUCCAAACAUAUAGAAGGAAGGGAUAAUUUGUCGGUUCCAAAGGGUCUAGAAAGUGUUUCUUACAGAAUAAAACAGUGGCUCUGAAAGGCGAAACUCCAACAGUAAUUGCUUUUUUUAAUGAAUAGCCAGUAAAACGCCAUCAGACUGUACAGAGAAGCAUCACUGAGGCUUAAAUCUUCUCAUUGGCUGCAGGAUUGUCCAACUGGAUCCUGAGAUAUUUUGGUCUGUGACUGUUAAUAAUGCCCCCGGAAGUGAACAGAAAAAAAAAAUAAGUGAGAGGUUUGAGACUAAUUUGAAUUUGCACCAUCGUCUGCCCAUUCCAGGGUUUGUGCCACUGCGUCGAUCAGGCAGCUCGUCAAAAUGACUGACAAGUGUAGCGGCGGUGAUUGAGGGGACAGAUUUGGAGCCAGGACAAGUUAUUAGCCGGCUGGGAGGAUAGAGCUGCGAUGGAGGUGUCGAAGUGAAGACUGAAGCACAAUAAUGGAGCGAGACACCAUCAGUGAUUCUCGCUCGGCGCCCUGGGCGGCGAGAUCCAUCAACGGCCUCACCUCACGUCAGAUCAGCGCAACACUCUUUGAAGGAUGUGGACGUUGCAGCUUUAUCAAACAGACAACGCCGUGAUCUUCCCUUCCGGCGUAAAAAGACUACAUCCACCUUACAGCAACAAAAGCCUGUGUGUGUGUUUGUGUGCAGAGCGGGUAGACGGAUGUAAUUUUCUAAGUGUGUGUGUGUGUGUAGGCGGACCUUGCCUCAAGCUAAAGUCAUUGAACAGUUAAGGAGUUCCUGCUACACUCCAGGCGAAAGCUGAAAUGCAACCAUCUGACCACGCGUGAAAUUACCACUCUUUCAUGAUUACACACACUCUCUCACACACACACAAACCUGGGCUUCUCCGCCUCCACAAACCGUACAUCUUAACAGACAAGCACACGUGUGAUGACAGCGCGCGGCGAGCCGUCACGGCUGAUAGCGGCAUCGCGGUGGAGUGACAUGCAACUUCCUCAGAAGUGCUAAUAGUGCUGCCACUGCCUCUCUGUGUGUUUGUGUGUGUCAAGGCUUUUUUGGACUGUGGAAUAUCUUUGUUGACAGCAAACCUUUUUUUACUGGUUUAUGUAGUAAAUAAAGACAGAACAGCAGAGGUUUGUAGUGUCCAUUUAAAAAAAAAAAA
Molecule: long non-coding RNA, 2311 nt
Organism: Oryzias melastigma (Indian medaka)
Lineage: Eukaryota; Metazoa; Chordata; Actinopteri; Beloniformes; Adrianichthyidae
Exons: 2
Source: RefSeq, a predicted model, not a curated record